GUUGGUGCCAGCAGGCGGUAAUACGGAGGGUGCAAGCGUUAAUCGGAAUUACUGGGCGUAAAGCGCACGCAGGCGGUCUGUCAAGUCGGAUGUGAAAUCCCCGGGCUCAACCUGGGAACUGCAUUCGAAACUGGCAGGCUAGAGUCUUGUAGAGGGGGGUAGAAUUCCAGGUGUAGCGGUGAAAUGCGUAGAGAUCUGGAGGAAUACCGGUGGCGAAGGCGGCCCCCUGGACAAAGACUGACGCUCAGGUGCGAAAGCGUGGGGAGCAAACAGGAUUAGAUACCCUGGUAGUCCCAA
This 297-nucleotide ribosomal RNA is filed under the name Enterobacter hormaechei. Its description in RNAcentral is "partial 16S ribosomal RNA". It matches the Rfam family "Bacterial small subunit ribosomal RNA", at positions 501 to 798 of the family's 1533-position model. The record is from RNAcentral. Lineage: Bacteria; Pseudomonadati; Pseudomonadota; Gammaproteobacteria; Enterobacterales; Enterobacteriaceae.